Molecule: ribosomal RNA, 253 nt
Filed under: uncultured bacterium
Lineage: Bacteria
Description: partial 16S ribosomal RNA
Rfam family: Bacterial small subunit ribosomal RNA
Source: RNAcentral
UACGGAGGGUGCGAGCGUUGUUCGGAAUCAUUGGGCGUAAAGGGCGUGUAGGUGGUCUGCUAAGUCAUGUGUGAAAGCCCCCGGCUCAACCGGGGAAGUGCGCAUGAAACUGACAAGCUAGAGUACCAAAGAGGAGGGUGGAAUUCCCGGUGUAGCGGUGAAAUGCGUAGAUAUCUGGAGGAACACCGGUGGCGAAGGCGCUCAUCUGGCCCAAUACUGACGCUGAGGCGCGAAAGCUAGGGGAGCAAACGGG